CUACGGGGGGCUGCAGUGGGGAAUAUUGGUCAAUGGGGGCAACCCUGAACCAGCGACGCCGCGUGAGUGAAGAAGUAUUUCGGUAUGUAAAGCUCUAUCAGCAGGGACGAUAAUGACGGUACCUGACUAAGAAGCCCCGGCUAACUACGUGCCAGCAGCCGCGGUAAUACGUAGGGGGCAAGCGUUAUCCGGAUUUACUGGGUGUAAAGGGAGUGUAGGUGGUUAUGCAAGUCAGAUGUGAAAACCCGGGGCUCAACCCCGUGACUGCAUUUGAAACUGCGUAACUAGAGUGCAGGAGAGGUAAGUGGAAUUCCUAGUGUAGCGGUGAAAUGCGUAGAUAUUAGGAGGAACACCAGUGGCGAAGGCGGCUUACUGGACUGUAACUGACACUGAGGCUCGAAAGCGUGGGGAGCAAACAGGAUUAGAUACCCGGGUAGUC
RNAcentral lists this ribosomal RNA (439 nucleotides) under uncultured bacterium. RNAcentral's name for it is "partial 16S ribosomal RNA". It matches the Rfam family "Bacterial small subunit ribosomal RNA", at positions 339 to 795 of the family's 1533-position model. The record is from RNAcentral.